This is a transfer RNA of Acanthamoeba castellanii str. Neff, 71 nucleotides long. It matches the Rfam family "tRNA". Rfam says of the family: Transfer RNA (tRNA) molecules are approximately 80 nucleotides in length. Their secondary structure includes four short double-helical elements and three loops (D, anti-codon, and T loops). Further hydrogen bonds mediate the characteristic L-shaped molecular structure. tRNAs have two regions of fundamental functional importance: the anti-codon, which is responsible for specific mRNA codon recognition, and the 3' end, to which the tRNAs corresponding amino acid is attached (by aminoacyl-tRNA synthetases). tRNAs cope with the degeneracy of the genetic code in two manners: having more than one tRNA (with a specific anti-codon) for a particular amino acid; and 'wobble' base-pairing, i.e. permitting non-standard base-pairing at the 3rd anti-codon position. The record is from Rfam. NCBI's taxonomy places the organism in Eukaryota, Discosea, Longamoebia, Acanthamoebidae.
GCAUCCGUGGUCCAGUGGCAAGAUUUCCGCCUGCCACGCGGGAGACCCGGGUUCAAUUCCCGGCGGAUGCA